Molecule: long non-coding RNA, 1832 nt
Organism: Pecten maximus
Lineage: Eukaryota; Metazoa; Mollusca; Bivalvia; Pectinida; Pectinidae
Exons: 6
Source: RefSeq, a predicted model, not a curated record
GCCAAGACAGUGUGUCAUGAACCACUUUAGGGAUACAUAGUUGGGAGGCCCAUGUGCCUCUUGUUUGGUAAGAGGUCAGUUAUAGAACUGUUUAAAAAUAUUUGAAUCAAAUUAAACCUAUACUUACAGUAGUAUCCUUUAUUUUCAUUUUGAAAGUUUUUUGGAGCAAUUUUGAAAAGUGCUAAUGCCUGCUUCAUUGUUAUACAGUGUGGUUUUAAUAAUAAUAAUCAUUUUCAUUUUUAUGACAAUAUUCCAGAUAUUUGAAUUACCGGUAAGAAUAAAAAAAUAAAACUUCUUUAUUGGUAACCUGUCAGGUUCUGGUGCCCAGAGAAUUCGGCUGUAUUUCUGUCAGGUGUGGUAACUAAUGAGUUUACCGAGGAGCAACACCCCUAUAACUUGAACAGAUGAGCUAGUCUUCACUGGUGAGAAUUAUCAGCUACCAUGGAUAUACUGGACCUGUUUGUGUCACCCUUGGAGCGGGAGUACUUGGAAGAAGACAUCCGUCCUGACUGAUCGAGGACAUGAGGUGUCCAGUGUUGACAUGUACUGGACCUGUUUGUGUCACCCUUGGAGCGGGAGUACUUGGACGAAGACAUCCGUCCUGACUGAUCGAGGACAUGAAGUGUCCAGUGUUGACAUGUACUGGACCUGUUUGUGUCACCCUUGGAGCGGGAGUACUUGGACGAAGACAUCCGUCCUGACUGAUCGAGGACAUGAGGUGUCCAGUGUUGGCAUGUACUGGAUCUGAUUGUGCCACCCCAGAAGUACAUUUGACAUCCAUCACUUACUUCUCUGGGCAAUGUGUUUUCCGCUCGAACCGCCGAAAUCAACUUACCCUUGGUAAGUGUCAUCACAGUCAGAGGCACCAUCUAUCUGCAGAGGAAGGGAGUUUCCAUAGUGUACGGUACAACACAAAAUUCAUAGACCCAAGGGGUAAACUUAUGCCCAUAUUAAGGGUUUCAGUAUGGCCGUACUUAGGGAGGAGGCCAGUGUCUGUCGUCGAGUGGAAUCAACUAUGGGUGUACUCACCUCGCGGACAUUACUGUGGGACUGCGGGAAACCUAUCAGCUGAUGGAGUUUGAUUUGUGUUAAUAUUUGACUGAUCCGGCAUGGGGCAUGUAAAGGCAGUGACCACCAAACUGAAAUGGAAAUUAACUAAUCCAUACGCCAGGAACAGGGCUGAAACGACAAGGAUUGCACCUGCAGUACAGCAGACAGGAUCCUUGGUGAGGCCCUCCUGUUGCUUGGACCAUCGGAGAUUUCACCAUUGCAGCUGGCACUGACCCCAAGGAGUCCAUCCCAUUAUUUGGCCAAGUUAGACGAUCCUGAUCAUGAGGGACACACAUACCAGUCCCAUGGUCAGAAGCUCUUCCAUCAGAUGAAACACCAGGAAUAACAGGCAAAGCUGUACCAUCAACAUGGCUGUACUUUUUGUCCAGGAAUCCAUCCCCUUAUUUGACCUAGUUAGACAAUCCUGAUUCUGAGGCCCUCAAUCCAGUCCCCAUGGUCAGAAGCUCUUCCAUCAGGUGAAACACCAGGAAUAACAGACAAAGCUGUACCAUCAAAAGAUGACUGUACUAUGAUAGUCACAGAUUUGACACAACUGCAGCAAAAACAGGUCAGCAUGUUAGCAAAACUGGAUGAAUACAAAUAUAGACACCUGGAUCUUGGUCACAGACUUCUACAUGUGAGAUAAUUAGGUCACAGACUUGGACAGGUGAGAUAAUUAGGUCACAGACUUAGACAGGUGAGAUAAUUAGGUCACAGACUUGGACAGGUGAGAUAAUUAGGUCAUAUACUUGGACAGGUGAGAUAAUUAGGCCACAGACUUG